GACGAACGCUGGCGGCGUGCUUAACACAUGCAAGUCGAACGGAAAGGCCCUGCUUUUGUGGGGUGCUCGAGUGGCGACCGGGUGCGUAACACGUGAGUAACCUGCCCUUGACUUUGGGAUAACUUCAGGUAACUGGGGAUAUUACCGGAUGGGAGCUCCUGCUGCAUGGUGGGGGUUGGAAAGUUUCGGCGGGUGGUGAUGGAUUCUCGGCUACUCGGCUUGAUGAUGGGGUAGUGGCUUACCAUGGCUUUGACUGGUGGCCGGCCUGGGCGGGUGUCCGGCCACCAUGGGACUGAGUUACGGCCCGGUCUCCUUCGUGACGCAGCAGUCGCGAAUGUUACACCUAGUGCGGAAGCUGAACGCGCCGAUGCUGCGUGCGCGAUGACGGCUUUUGGGUUGUAAACCGCUUUCGCCUGUUAUGAAGCGUGAUUGACGGUAAUGGGUAAAGAAGCACCGGCUAACUACGUG
Molecule: ribosomal RNA, 468 nt
Filed under: uncultured bacterium
Lineage: Bacteria
Description: partial 16S ribosomal RNA
Rfam family: Bacterial small subunit ribosomal RNA
Source: RNAcentral